This 488-nucleotide ribosomal RNA is filed under the name Colletotrichum sp. C880.1. RNAcentral's name for it is "eukaryotic LSU rRNA". The stretch from base 166 to 319 matches the Rfam family "5.8S ribosomal RNA". The record is from RNAcentral. Lineage: Eukaryota; Fungi; Ascomycota; Sordariomycetes; Glomerellales; Glomerellaceae.
UACGCUCUACAACCCUUUGUGAACAUACCUAUAACUGUUGCUUCGGCGGGUAGGGUCUCCGUGACCCUCCCGGCCUCCCGCCCCCGGGCGGGUCGGCGCCCGCCGGAGGAUAACCAAACUCUGAUUUAACGACGUUUCUUCUGAGUGGUACAAGCAAAUAAUCAAAACUUUUAACAACGGAUCUCUUGGUUCUGGCAUCGAUGAAGAACGCAGCGAAAUGCGAUAAGUAAUGUGAAUUGCAGAAUUCAGUGAAUCAUCGAAUCUUUGAACGCACAUUGCGCCCGCCAGCAUUCUGGCGGGCAUGCCUGUUCGAGCGUCAUUUCAACCCUCAAGCUCUGCUUGGUGUUGGGGCCCUACAGCUGAUGUAGGCCCUCAAAGGUAGUGGCGGACCCUCCCGGAGCCUCCUUUGCGUAGUAACUUUACGUCUCGCACUGGGAUCCGGAGGGACUCUUGCCGUAAAACCCCCAAUUUUCCAAAGGUUGACCUCG